Molecule: non-coding RNA, 243 nt
Organism: Vicia faba (fava bean)
Lineage: Eukaryota; Viridiplantae; Streptophyta; Magnoliopsida; Fabales; Fabaceae
Source: the annotation of a GenBank genome assembly
AUGACGUUGCAAUUACGGCUGCUCGCAGAAUCUGCCUCGCCGCAGCCACCGCGCCCAAUCCAUGAAGUCCGCCUCUGUACCGAAAACAAUCAAUCAACAGGACCGCACAUAAUCAUCCGACCACACUCUUCAAUCCUCCGCCACCGUGAAGGCAACGCUCUGUUGAUGAAGCUUCUCCCUCCGAUUGCAGCCGCCGCAAGCACCUCCAUGGUGUUUUCUCCGUUGUUUCUGUUCCUCCUCUAG